GUUUGAAGUGCAGUAAAUGAUGUUCCAUAAAUGAAAUGUCCUGUUAAAUGGAUCUUAUAUAGCGCCAGGAAACAAGGCCAUUUUCCUGGCACUUUAAGGUAAUAAGGCUUUUAACCACCAGCUGCCCAUGUUCUACAGAUAUCCUGGAAAGAGAAGUUCAUACUGGCCCUACACAAACUAUGGGCACAAUCCUGGGCUGAACCAAGCCAAGCAUACUUAUAACCUCAAGACGCCCACAUCGACAGGGCAGCGGUUGAAAGUGUCUCAGUGCCAGCCCACCAGUUCCCGCUACACCACCACCUAACUGCACCACAGUCCGUACAGGGACAUCACCCUAUCCUGAGGAGGCCACAGGUCUGCACAUAAGGCUGCAAUCUAGGGAAGGCUACUGGGACCCUACUCUGGUCACUAGACAUACCUGGAGCAAUAGGAAUGGUGACAUGGAUCUAAGUGGAGACUAGCUGGGAUCCAUGGGACUCACACAUUACCGCUGUGGGGAAUACUGUCAGAUGGCCAUCGGGUGGACUCCUACAGUGGUUUCCAUGGGGCCUAUACCAUGCAUUUCUUUGCAGCAAUACUUACUGUGUUUUGUCACCAUUUAAUACUAUUAAGUACCCAGUGGUUUCUUCACCUAAAUGUCAAGCCUGCUAUACCUAUC
Pelobates cultripes (western spadefoot toad) is the source of this 658-nucleotide non-coding RNA. Lineage: Eukaryota; Metazoa; Chordata; Amphibia; Anura; Pelobatidae. The record is from the annotation of a GenBank genome assembly.